RNAcentral lists this transfer RNA (59 nucleotides) under Sorex mirabilis (Ussuri shrew). Its description in RNAcentral is "tRNA-Ser". Lineage: Eukaryota; Metazoa; Chordata; Mammalia; Eulipotyphla; Soricidae. The record is from RNAcentral.
GAAUGGGAUUGCAAGAUGUGCCAACUCAUGCCACCAUAUUUAAGAGUAUGGGUUUCUUG